CCUACGGGAGACAGCAGUGAGGAAUAUUGGUCAAUGGGCGAGAGCCUGAACCAGCCAAGUCGCGUGAGGGAGUACUGCCCUAUGGGUUGUAAACCUCUUUUGUCGGGGAGCAAAAGCCGGACGUGUCCGGCUGUGAGAGUACCCGAAGAAAAAGCAUCGGCUAACUCCGUGCCAGCAGCCGCGGUACUACGGGGGAUGCGAGCGUUAUCCGGAUUUAUGGGGUUUAAAGGGUGCGCUGGCGGAUUUUUAAGUCAGCGGUAAAAUCGUGGGGCUCAACCCCAUCCAGCCGGUGAAACUGGGGAUCUAGAGUGUGGGAGAGGUAUGCGGAAUGCGUGGUGUAGCGGUGAAAUGCAUAGAUAUCACGCAGAACACCGAUUGCGAAGGCAGCAUACCGGUGCACAACUGACGCUCAGGCACGAAAGCGUGGGUAUCGAACAGGAUUAGAUACCCCAGUAGU
Molecule: ribosomal RNA, 457 nt
Filed under: uncultured bacterium
Lineage: Bacteria
Description: partial 16S ribosomal RNA
Rfam family: Bacterial small subunit ribosomal RNA
Source: RNAcentral